GUGCUCACUUUGCAGCACGAGUACUAAACAUCGGAACACAGAGAAGAUUAGCAAGGCCCCUGCGCAAGGAUGAUACACAAAUUCAUGACACGUUCCAUUAAAAG
RNAcentral lists this small nuclear RNA (104 nucleotides) under Microcebus murinus (gray mouse lemur). The record is from RNAcentral. Lineage: Eukaryota; Metazoa; Chordata; Mammalia; Primates; Cheirogaleidae.